This is a non-coding RNA of Collybiopsis luxurians FD-317 M1, 84 nucleotides long. The record is from the annotation of a GenBank genome assembly. NCBI's taxonomy places the organism in Eukaryota, Fungi, Basidiomycota, Agaricomycetes, Agaricales, Omphalotaceae.
GCAUUAAUGGGGUAGUGGUAACCUGGGUCGUUGCCAUGAGUAUCUUUUCUCGACCCGCCGGGGGUUCGAUUCCCCCUUAAUGCA